AUUCUGCCCAAGCGGGGAAGGAUGAGAAGCUUCGACCAAGGUUCGACUUGAGCGCCAGCGAGAGAGCGUUGCCGCAGG
Molecule: small RNA, 78 nt
Filed under: Escherichia coli
Lineage: Bacteria; Pseudomonadati; Pseudomonadota; Gammaproteobacteria; Enterobacterales; Enterobacteriaceae
Also listed under: 2 other names
Description: partial RtT sRNA
Rfam family: RtT RNA
About the family: This family represents a bacterial cis-regulatory element known as RtT RNA. The exact function of RtT is unknown although it is thought that it may be involved in changing the cellular response in relation to amino acid starvation.
Source: RNAcentral